GGAAUAUUGCGCAAUGGGCGAAAGCCUGACGCAGCGACGCCGCGUGGGGGAAGAAGGCCUGCGGGUCGUAAACUCCUUUUCUGGGGGAAGAGGAAGGACGGUACUCCAGGAAGAAGCCUCGGCUAACUACGUGCCAGCAGCCGCGGUAAGACGUAGGAGGCUAGCGUUGUCCGGAUUUACUGGGCGUAAAGGGUGUGUAGGCGGGAAGGGAAGUCCUCGGUGAAAGCUCCCGGCUCAACUGGGAAAAGUCCGAGGAUACUCCUUUUCUUGAGGGCAGCAGAGGCGGGUGGAAUUCCCGGAGUAGCGGUGAAAUGCGUAGAUCUCGGGAGGAACACCAGUGGCGAAGGCGGCCCGCUGGGCUGUCCCUGACGCUGAGGCACGAUAGCGUGGGGAGCGAACCGG
This 402-nucleotide ribosomal RNA is filed under the name uncultured bacterium. RNAcentral describes it as "bacterial SSU rRNA". It matches the Rfam family "Bacterial small subunit ribosomal RNA", at positions 358 to 776 of the family's 1533-position model. The record is from RNAcentral.